This 492-nucleotide ribosomal RNA is filed under the name uncultured bacterium. RNAcentral describes it as "partial 16S ribosomal RNA". It matches the Rfam family "Bacterial small subunit ribosomal RNA", at positions 29 to 507 of the family's 1533-position model. The record is from RNAcentral.
AGUGAACGCUGGCGGUAGGCCUAACACAUGCAAGUCGAACGGCAGCACAGUAAGAGCUUGCUCUUACGGGUGGCGAGUGGCGGACGGGUGAGGAAUACAUCGGAAUCUACUUUUUCGUGGGGGGUAACGUAGGGAAACUUACGCUAAUACCGCAUACGACCUACGGGUGAAAGCAGGGGAUCUUCGGACCUUGCGCGAUUGAAUGAGCCGAUGUCGGAUUAGCUAGUUGGCGGGGUAAAGGCCCACCAAGGCGACGAUCCGUAGCUGGUCUGAGAGGAUGAUCAGCCACACUGGAACUGAGACACGGUCCAGACUCCUACGGGAGGCAGCAGUGGGGAAUAUUGGACAAUGGGCGCAAGCCUGAUCCAGCCAUACCGCGUGGGUGAAGAAGGCCUUCGGGUUGUAAAGCCCUUUUGUUGGGAAAGAAAAGCAGCAGGUUAAUACCCCGCUGUUCUGACGGUACCCAAAGGAUAAGCACCGGCUAACUUCGUG